RNAcentral lists this non-coding RNA (201 nucleotides) under Alistipes shahii. The record is from RNAcentral. RNAcentral also lists the same sequence under 1 other name. Lineage: Bacteria; Pseudomonadati; Bacteroidota; Bacteroidia; Bacteroidales; Rikenellaceae.
CUAUUUUUGCGGCCGAUUGGUUCCCAAGCGACUUUUUCCGAGUCGGGGGAUUAAAAGGGAACCGGGUGAAAUUCCCGGACAGACCCGCUGCUGUGAAGCUCCGCCAAUCAUCCGGGCAAUCUGUACCACUGGCCGUUUCGUGCCGGGAAGGAGUUCGGAUGAGGAGUCAGUCAGAAGACCUGCCAACGAUUUAUGGAUUUA